Molecule: ribosomal RNA, 433 nt
Filed under: uncultured bacterium
Lineage: Bacteria
Description: partial 16S ribosomal RNA
Rfam family: Bacterial small subunit ribosomal RNA
Source: RNAcentral
AACGAACGCUGGCGGCAUGCCUAACACAUGCAAGUCGAACGAUGCUUUCGGGCAUAGUGGCGCACGGGUGCGUAACGCGUGGGAAUCUGCCCUGGGGUUCGGGAUAACAGCGGGAAACUGCUGCUAAUACCGGAUGAUAUCGCGAGAUCAAAGAUUUAUCGCCCUGGGAUGAGCCCGCGUCGGAUUAGGUAGUUGGUGGGGUAAGAGCCUACCAAGCCGACGAUCCGUAGCUGGUCUGAGAGGAUGAUCAGCCACACUGGGACUGAGACACGGCCCAGACUCCUACGGGAAGCAGCAGUGGGGAAUAUUGGACAAUGGGCGCAAGCCUGAUCCAGCAAUGCCGCGUGAGUGAUGAAGGCCUUAGGGUUGUAAAGCUCUUUUACCCGGGAUGAUAAUGACAGUACCGGGAGAAUAAGCCCCGGCUAACUCCGUG